CCUACGGGCGGCUGCAGUGGGGAAUUUUGGACAAUGGGGGCAACCCUGAUCCAGCCAUGCCGCGUGAGUGAAGAAGGCCUUCGGGUUGUAAAGCUCUUUCAGCCGGGAAGAAAUCGCAUCAGCUAAUACCUGGUGUGGAUGACGGUACCGGAAUAAGAAGCACCGGCUAACUACGUGCCAGCAGCCGCGGUAAUACGUACGGAACGAGCGUUCAUCGGAAUUACUCAGCGUAAUGUGUAAGCCAGCGGUGAAAUCCCCGGGCUCAACCUGGGAACUGCGUUUGUGACUGCACAGCUAGAGUAUGGCAGAGGGGGGUGGAAUUCCACGUGUAGCAGUGAAAUGCGUAGAGAUGUGGAGGAACACCGAUGGCGAAGGCAGCCCCCUGGGCCAAUACUGACGCUCAUGCACGAAAGCGUGGGUAGCAAACAGGAUUAGAUACCCCUGUAGUC
RNAcentral lists this ribosomal RNA (449 nucleotides) under uncultured bacterium. Its description in RNAcentral is "partial 16S ribosomal RNA". It matches the Rfam family "Bacterial small subunit ribosomal RNA", at positions 338 to 795 of the family's 1533-position model. The record is from RNAcentral.